Molecule: ribosomal RNA, 207 nt
Filed under: uncultured bacterium
Lineage: Bacteria
Description: partial 16S ribosomal RNA
Rfam family: Bacterial small subunit ribosomal RNA
Source: RNAcentral
CACGCAGGCGGCCAACCAAGUCUGACGUGAAAGCUCCUGGCUUAACUGGGAGAGGUCGUUGGAAACUGAUUGGCUUGAGGCAAUGAGAGGGGUACGGAAUUCCAGGUGUAGUGGUGGAAUGCGUAGAUAUCUGGAGGAACAUCAGUGGCGAAAGCGGUACCCUGGCAUUGACCUGACGCUCAUGUGCGAAAGCGUGGGGAGCGAACG